AUUGAACGCUGGCGGAAUGCUUUACACAUGCAAGUCGAGCGGCAGCGCGGGGGCAACCCUGGCGGCGAGCGGCGAACGGGUGAGUAACAUAUCGGAACGUACCCCGUCGUGGGGGAUAACACAGCGAAAGCUGUGCUAAUACCGCAUACGACCUGAGGGUGAAAGCGGGGGACCGUAAGGCCUCGCGCGAUGGGAGCGGCCGAUAUCGGAUUAGCUUGUUGGUGAGGUAAAGGCUCACCAAGGCGACGAUCCGUAGCUGGUCUGAGAGGACGACCAGCCACACUGGAACUGAGACACGGUCCAGACUCCUACGGGAGGCAGCAGUGGGGAAUUUUGGACAAUGGGGGGCAACCCUGAUCCAGCCAUUCCGCGUGAGUGAAGAAGGCCUCGGUUGUAAAGCGUACUUCUAGCAGGAACGAAACGGUAGG
This 428-nucleotide ribosomal RNA is filed under the name uncultured bacterium. RNAcentral describes it as "bacterial SSU rRNA". It matches the Rfam family "Bacterial small subunit ribosomal RNA", at positions 29 to 457 of the family's 1533-position model. The record is from RNAcentral.